GAUGAACGCUGGCGGCGUGCCUAUACAUGCAAGUCGAGCGAACAGACGAGGAGCUUGCUCCUCUGACGUUAGCGGCGGACGGGUGAGUAACACGUGGAUAACCUACCUAUAAGACUGGGAUAACUUCGGGAAACCGGAGCUAAUACCGGAUAAUAUAUUGAACCGCAUGGUUCAAUAGUGAAAGACGGUUUUGCUGUCACUUAUAGAUGGAUCCGCGCCGCAUUAGCUAGUUGGUAAGGUAACGGCUUACCAAGGCAACGAUGCGUAGCCGACCUGAGAGGGUGAUCGGCCACACUGGAACUGAGACACGGUCCAGACUCCUACGGGAGGCAGCAGUAGGGAAUCUUCCGCAAAGGGCGAAAGCCUGACGGAGCAACGCCGCGUGAGUGAUGAAGGUCUUCGGAUCGUAAAACUCUGUUAUUAGGGAAGAACAAAUGUGUAAGUAACUAUGCACGUCUUGACGGUACCUAAUCAGAAAGCCACGGCUAACUACGUG
RNAcentral lists this ribosomal RNA (496 nucleotides) under uncultured bacterium. RNAcentral describes it as "partial 16S ribosomal RNA". It matches the Rfam family "Bacterial small subunit ribosomal RNA", at positions 28 to 507 of the family's 1533-position model. The record is from RNAcentral.